Long non-coding RNA from Melanotaenia boesemani (Boeseman's rainbowfish), 156 nucleotides. RefSeq lists it as uncharacterized. NCBI's taxonomy places the organism in Eukaryota, Metazoa, Chordata, Actinopteri, Atheriniformes, Melanotaeniidae. The transcript is spliced from 2 exons. The record is from RefSeq and is a predicted model, not a curated record.
GAUGAGAUGAGAUGAUAUAAGAUAAGAUGAUAUGAGACCCUAGCAGGGAAUAUUUUAGUGCAACAGAAUGUUUAGGCCUGUUUAUAUGUUGUUUACAUGCCAGAUAAAAAAACAUUUGUAUACAUUAUAUACCAAAGAAGUAUCUGUAUCGAAGUU